This is a long non-coding RNA of Choloepus didactylus (southern two-toed sloth), 517 nucleotides long. RefSeq lists it as uncharacterized. NCBI's taxonomy places the organism in Eukaryota, Metazoa, Chordata, Mammalia, Pilosa, Megalonychidae. The transcript has 4 exons. The record is from RefSeq and is a predicted model, not a curated record.
UUAAUUAGAGACAUGGAGAGCCAAAGAACAAGAUACCUGUGCGGAGAGCCUGGGAGGCAUUUCCAUAGGCUCCUUUUCAAGUGAAUGUUAAAGCCCCCAUGUUAAAGCAAAGAAAAGACUCAUACCAUCCUCUGGCAAGCAGCAGAAAGAUGAAUCAUGUCAAUCCCAUGUGGAACUGAGCUGCCUGGAGUCUGGUUUUCAGUCUUUGUAAGGUCCCUCAAAUCCUGCCUGCGUUAGUAGCACAAAUCUCCCAAUUUUACCUUCUCGGCCCCUUUGAUUGCAUCAAGUGCUUUUUGCCUGUUAGCAGCUGGCCUCUGCCUGCCUUUUCAUCUUCUUGCCCUAAGUUAAGAUAUAACAUGUCACCUGAGGUGAAAAAAAUCUUUCAAAAAUAAAAUUCACUUGGUAAGUUCUGUAUUCUCCAGAAGCUUUGGACCUCAAUUCAUUGGCUGUCUCAGCAACUUUCUAAUGCCUUCAAACUUAUGUCUUUUGAAUGUUAGCCAACUUUCCUAAUUAUCCU